Molecule: unclassified non-coding RNA, 418 nt
Filed under: soil metagenome
Description: partial contains 5.8S ribosomal RNA, internal transcribed spacer 2, and large subunit ribosomal RNA
Rfam family: 5.8S ribosomal RNA (bases 1-120)
Source: RNAcentral
GAUGAAGAACGCAGCGAAAUGCGAUAAGUAAUGUGAAUUGCAGAAUUCAGUGAAUCAUCGAAUCUUUGAACGCAUCUUGCGCUCCUUGGUAUUCCUUGGAGCAUGCCUGUUUGAGUAUCAUGAGCAAAUCUCAAAGUCAAUUCCUUUUGUUGAUUCAAUUGGUUUUGCUUUGGACUUGGAGGCCUUGCAGAUUUCACAGUCUGCUCCUCUUAAAUGCAUUAGCUGGAUCUCAGUAAUUAUGCUUGGUUCCACUCGGCGUGAUAAGUAUCACUCGCUGAGGACACUGUUAAAAAGGUGGCCAGGAAAAUACUGAUUGAACCGCUUCUAACGGUCUAUUAAGUUAGACAAUUACCCUUAAGCUUGAUCUCAAAUCAGGUAGGACUACCCGCUGAACUUAAGCAUAUCAAUAAGCGGAGGA